AACUGUUUUGAUGGCAUUGUAAUAUACAAGAGUGAUGUCGAAACAUUAAAUGGAAGCAAGUGGUUGUGUGAUACCAUAAUUGACUUUUUUUUAAGGUAUUACUGCAAAACGGCAGAAAGAAAAGACGAUGGGGAACAAUAUUAUGCCUUUUCUAGUUUUUUCCAACAGAAACUACUCAUGAAAGGACACGUAUCAAAGCGACCAUUAGAUCUUUCGGGAUGCAACUUACAUGGAGUGAGGAGAUACACC
Molecule: long non-coding RNA, 249 nt
Organism: Xenia sp. Carnegie-2017
Lineage: Eukaryota; Metazoa; Cnidaria; Anthozoa; Malacalcyonacea; Xeniidae
Exons: 3
Source: RefSeq, a predicted model, not a curated record